Molecule: ribosomal RNA, 253 nt
Filed under: uncultured bacterium
Lineage: Bacteria
Description: partial 16S ribosomal RNA
Rfam family: Bacterial small subunit ribosomal RNA
Source: RNAcentral
UACAGAGGGGGCAAGCGUUGUUCGGAAUUACUGGGCGUAAAGGGCGCGUAGGCGGCCUUCUAAGUCGAACGUGAAAUCCCCGGGCUCAACCCGGGAACUGCGUCCGAUACAGGAAGGCUUGAAUCCGGGAGAGGGAUGCGGAAUUCCAGGUGUAGCGGUGAAAUGCGUAGAUAUCUGGAGGAACACCGGUGGCGAAGGCGGCUACCUGGACAAUUGCUGACGCUCAGGCACGAAAGCGUGGGGAGCAAAAGGG